Molecule: long non-coding RNA, 220 nt
Organism: Nothoprocta perdicaria
Lineage: Eukaryota; Metazoa; Chordata; Aves; Tinamiformes; Tinamidae
Exons: 2
Source: RefSeq, a predicted model, not a curated record
GUUGUUAAAGACUUCCGGUGCUGGAAAUUGCUCCUAUCUUCCCUGGGCAGUGCUGUGCUUUGCUUCACUACUUCACUUUGAAUAUAUUAGAUGUCUCACAGAAGUGUCUCUCUUUUGAACAUAAGCCUAUUAAAAUACAAACAAAAUCUAAAGCUAUCAAAGGCCUGCAGUAAAUAGGCUGUUUUGCCUAGGUCUCUGAUCAUUAUCUCAGUAAUUCUGU